UACGGAGGGUGCAAGCGUUAUCCGGAUUCACUGGGCGUAAAGAGCGCGCAGGCGGUCAAGUCAGUCGAAUGUGAAAGCCCCCGGCUCAACUGGGGAGGGUCAUUCGAUACUGCUCGACUUGAAGGCAGGAGAGGGAAGUGGAAUUCCCGGUGUAGUGGUGAAAUGCGUAGAUAUCGGGAGGAACACCAGUGGCGAAGGCGACUUUCUGGCCUGUUCUUGACGCUGAGGCGCGAAAGCUAGGGGAGCAAACGGG
Molecule: ribosomal RNA, 253 nt
Filed under: uncultured bacterium
Lineage: Bacteria
Description: partial 16S ribosomal RNA
Rfam family: Bacterial small subunit ribosomal RNA
Source: RNAcentral